Molecule: ribosomal RNA, 381 nt
Filed under: uncultured bacterium
Lineage: Bacteria
Description: bacterial SSU rRNA
Rfam family: Bacterial small subunit ribosomal RNA
Source: RNAcentral
GACGAACGCUGGCGGCGUGCCUAACACAUGCAAGUCGAGCGAAUGAAGUUCCUUCGGGAACGGAUUUAGCGGCGGACGGGUGAGUAACACGUGGGCAACCUGCCUCAUAGAGGGGAAUAGCCUUCCGAAAGGGAGAUUAAUACCGCAUAAGAUUGUAGUACCGCAUGGUACAGCAAUUAAAGGAGCAAUCCGCUAUGAGAUGGGGCCCCGCGGCGCAUUAGCUAGUUGGUGAGGUAACGGCUCACCAAGGCGACGAUGCGUAGCCGACCUGAGAGGGUGAUCGGCCACAUUGGGACUGAGACACGGCCCAGACUCCUACGGGAGGCAGUAGUGGGGAAUAUUGCACAAUGGGGGAAACCCUGAUGCAGCAACGCCGCGUGA